RNAcentral lists this ribosomal RNA (624 nucleotides) under Chaetoceros debilis. RNAcentral describes it as "partial large subunit ribosomal RNA". Lineage: Eukaryota; Bacillariophyta; Thalassiosirophyceae; Chaetocerotales; Chaetocerotaceae. The record is from RNAcentral.
ACCCGCUGAAUUUAAGCAUAUAAUUAAGCGGAGGAAAAGAAAAUAACAAUGAUUCCAUUAGUAACGGCGAGUGAAACUGGAUCUAGUUCAGCCUGUGAAUCGCUACCUAGUAGCGAGUUGUGGCCUAUAGAAGAUGUGUCGGACAAGACUUUUUACUAAUUAUACUGGAACGUAUAGGCGAAGAGGUUGAGACCACCGUUCAUGUUUAAAGUUCUUGUCCAUGGCAUACACCUUCGACGAGUCGAUUUGCUUGGGAUUGCAGAUCAAAGUGUGACGUAAAUUUGUCAUAAAACUAAAUAUUGGUGGGAAACCGAUAGCGAACAAGUAAUGUGAAUGAAAGUUGCAAAGAACUUUGAAAAGAGAGUUAAAGAGUACUCGAAAUCGUUGAAAGGGAAGMUYAYGUAAACAGUGUUUCACUGUAUCAUCUUUCCUCACUGACUUGUCAUUGAGGCGCUGUGAUGCAGAGUUUGUCAACAAGGGUUUGGAUCGAAGCAUAAGUAUGGCUGGGAGGCACACGUCUUUUCGUGGAUUACCAGCUUGUCUCGUUUUGGUCUGGAUUGAGGCUAGUCUUCGUGUUGUUGUCGAAAUGUUUAUGUAAAUCCCGUCUUGAAACACGGACCAAGG